Molecule: ribosomal RNA, 440 nt
Filed under: uncultured bacterium
Lineage: Bacteria
Description: partial 16S ribosomal RNA
Rfam family: Bacterial small subunit ribosomal RNA
Source: RNAcentral
CCUACGGGAGGCUGCAGUGGGGGAUAUUGCACAAUGGGGGGAACCCUGAUGCAGCGACGCCGCGUGGGUGAAGAAGCGCCUCGGCGCGUAAAGCCCUGUCAGCAGGGAAGAAAAUGACGGUACCUGAAGAAGAAGCCCCGGCUAACUACGUGCCAGCAGCCGCGGUAAUACGUAGGGGGCAAGCGUUAUCCGGAUGUACUGGGUGGAAAGGGGGCGCAGACGGCGAUGCAAGCCAGGAGUGAAAGCCCGGGGCCCAACCCCGGGACUGCUCUUGGAACUGCGUGGCUGGAGUGCAGGAGGGGCAGGCGGAAUUCCUGGUGUAGCGGUGAAAUGCGUAGAUAUCAGGAGGAACACCGGUGGCGAAGGCGGCCUGCUGGACUGCAACUGACGUUGAGGCCCGAAAGCGUGGGGAGCAAACAGGAUUAGAUACCCUGGUAGUC